Molecule: non-coding RNA, 101 nt
Filed under: Pedobacter sp.
Lineage: Bacteria; Pseudomonadati; Bacteroidota; Sphingobacteriia; Sphingobacteriales; Sphingobacteriaceae
Also listed under: 1 other name
Description: SAM-I sequence
Rfam family: SAM riboswitch aptamer (S box leader)
About the family: The SAM riboswitch is found upstream of a number of genes which code for proteins involved in methionine or cysteine biosynthesis in Gram-positive bacteria. The SAM riboswitch acts at the level of transcription termination control.
Source: RNAcentral
UGCUUAUAGAGAAAGACGGAGGGAUUAGACCCAACGAAGUCUUAGCAACCUGUGCAAACAAGGUGCUACAUUCUAUCCGCAGCUGGCGGAAAAGAUAAGUG